GAAAAAUCAAAGGAGGCAAUGAAUCGGAUUGUGUCGUCCAACCAUGUGAAACCUUGCGACCCAAGGAACAAAAAUGGGUCCACUAGGAAACAAUUUAAAGCGAGGCGUAGUCCUCAGCUGGCUGUGCAGUCUCAGACUUCUCCAGAGAAAUCUGUACUCUGUAGCUUCCCUUGUAUCAACCCGACUCGCGGAAAUGGCGAACGAACCUGUGAAGCCCAUGAACAAACGAAAAGCAAGCUUUCCUCCCAAGAGAGGGCAGAUCAAAGUUAGGAUAAUUGGGAAUUUGAUCAAGACGAUCAUUGUAGCAGCCAAGGCUGGAGGACGACGGGGACGGAGUAGAAGGCAAGACGGUCGCGACGGUGAUGGCUCAACCUCUGUCUCCACAACCCCACCUCAGAGCGCCUACACUUCGGAAACCGAUGUGUGAUCCGGACGAAAACCUAUUCACUGUGUGAUCUUCUGCAGCUCACUAAAUCGAGCUUGUCCCGUGCCUCUGAUCUUCAUCUCGUAGUCAGAUCAUGGAUGGGAAAGCAACAGAUAACAAGCAGAUGAGAGUAUCCAGAAGUUCAGUUGGUUCAGCUCCAGUUUUUGGGAGCCCUUAAUGCUGUGAAUACACUUUGUAUAGGACAGUUUUUCUUUUUAAUCUGACAAAUAGAAAUUGAAGAUGAGUUUUUGAUCUUUUUUUUCCUUUUCUUUUCUUGCGGAAGCUUGAUGCCCAUCUAUUGCUUCUCUGUAAAUAUUUAUUAUAUCUUGAGUUGGAUUUUCUUCGGGUUCUGGUGGGAGAAAGUAAAUUUGGGGGAAAGGGGUUGUAAUUACUAAUUACUGGGUUUGGCCGUUUGGGGAAUGGGAAUGACAAAUUCCUUUCCAUGUUCUGCAUGCAAAUUUGAUAAAUAUGUAAAUUAAUGGUAACGGUAUCAAUUGUUGUUGAUCCCUGAGUUUUA
Non-coding RNA from Nelumbo nucifera (sacred lotus), 941 nucleotides. NCBI's taxonomy places the organism in Eukaryota, Viridiplantae, Streptophyta, Magnoliopsida, Proteales, Nelumbonaceae. The record is from RefSeq and is a predicted model, not a curated record.